This 66-nucleotide transfer RNA is filed under the name Hirtodrosophila subflavohalterata. RNAcentral's name for it is "tRNA-Ile". The record is from RNAcentral. Lineage: Eukaryota; Metazoa; Arthropoda; Insecta; Diptera; Drosophilidae.
AGUGAAUUGCCUGAUUAAAAGGGUUACCUUGAUAGGGUAAAUUAUGUGAAUUAUUCACAUUCAUUA